GUUUUCACAGUAUAAAGUGAUCAACAAUUUAGUAUUUUAGCAUGACAAAAAUAAAAAAUUAUGUCUAAAGUUCUUAAAUUUGUUUAUGUUAUGAUUAUUUUUCUUUUCUUAUUCAUCAAAAGUUCGUGUUAUGUUGGAUUGGAUUUAUGCAGUUCUGAUAAAGAUUGUCCUCGUAUACCUUGUUUGUUUACUGGAGUUCCAAAGUGCAUAGAUCACAUUUGUGAAUGUGUAUAAUAUUAAUGGUACUUCUAACAUACAUCUGUUAUAGUUGUUUAAUAAAUGAUAUUAUUUUUAUCAUUUCUUUCAUGCUUUAAUAAUUGGUUUUUGUUCCUUUAAAUUUAUUUGAUCAAUUUAAAACUAUAUUAUUAUAUGGUGCAA
Molecule: long non-coding RNA, 378 nt
Organism: Vicia villosa (hairy vetch)
Lineage: Eukaryota; Viridiplantae; Streptophyta; Magnoliopsida; Fabales; Fabaceae
Exons: 2
Source: RefSeq, a predicted model, not a curated record